Molecule: ribosomal RNA, 496 nt
Filed under: uncultured bacterium
Lineage: Bacteria
Description: partial 16S ribosomal RNA
Rfam family: Bacterial small subunit ribosomal RNA
Source: RNAcentral
AUGAACGCUGGCGGCGUGCCUAAUACAUGCAAGUCGCGCGAACAGACGAGGAGCUUGCUCCUCUGACGUUAGCGGCGGACGGGUGAGUAACACGUGGAUAACCUACCUAUAAGACUGGGAUAACUUCGGGAAACCGGAGCUAAUACCGGAUAAUAUAUUGAACCGCAUGGUUCAAUAGUGAAAGACGGUUUUGCUGUCACUUAUAGAUGGGUCCGCGCCGCAUUAGCUAGUUGGUAAGGUAACGGCUUACCAAGGCAACGAUGCGUAGCCGACCUGAGAGGGUGAUCGGCCACACUGGAACUGAGACACGGUCCAGACUCCUACGGGAGGCAGCAGUAGGGAAUCUUCCGCAAUGGGCGAAAGCCUGACGGAGCAACGCCGCGUGAGUGAUGAAGGUCUUCGGAUCGUAAAACUCUGUUAUUAGGGAAGAACAAAUGUGUAAGUAACUAUGCACGUCUUGACGGUACCUAAUCAGAAAGCCACGGCUAACUACGUG